UGGUUCUUAAAGCUCAACAAAACGGCUAGCUUAUUCAAUGGUCUGGCCUCUGACCUAAUUCCAAAUGGGGUAGCUAUUCUUCAGUACGCGGAUGACACAAUUUUGUGUUUUGAGGAUGAUCUUAGAAAUGCUUUGAAUAUUAAGUUGCUCCUUUAUCUGUUUGAGGUCAUGUCAGGAUUGAAAAUCAAUUUCUUAAAGAGCGAGAUAUUCUCUGUCCGUGCGGACGAUGAGACUAUGCAUAAAUAUGCUGAGAUGUUUAACUGCCAAAUAGGUAAUUUCCCUAUAAAAUACCUAGGCAUGCCUGUCAGCUAUGCUGGGCUGAAAUGCAGCGACUGGAGUUUUGUGGAGAAUAAAUUCAUCGAUCAUGGUGAAAAUUGGAUUAGUGAGGUGCUG
This 393-nucleotide ribosomal RNA is filed under the name Triticum aestivum (bread wheat). Its description in RNAcentral is "partial small subunit ribosomal RNA". Lineage: Eukaryota; Viridiplantae; Streptophyta; Magnoliopsida; Poales; Poaceae. The record is from RNAcentral.